This 429-nucleotide ribosomal RNA is filed under the name Pseudomonadota bacterium. RNAcentral's name for it is "Proteobacteria bacterium partial 16S ribosomal RNA". It matches the Rfam family "Bacterial small subunit ribosomal RNA", at positions 355 to 776 of the family's 1533-position model. Lineage: Bacteria; Pseudomonadati; Pseudomonadota. The record is from RNAcentral.
UGGGGAAUAUUGGACAAUGGGCGAAAGCCUGAUCCAGCCAUGCCGCGUGUGUGAAGAAGGUCUUUGGAUUGUAAAGCACUUUAAGUUGGGAGGAAGGGCAGUAAGCGAAUACCUUGCUGUCUUGACGUUACCGACAGAAUAAGCACCGGCUAACUUCGUGCCAGCAGUCGCGGUAAUACAGAGGGUGCAAGCGUUAAUCGGAAUUACUGGGCGUAAAGCGCGCGUAGGUGGUUCUUUAAGUUGAAUGUGAAAGCCCCGGGCUCAACCUGGGAACUGCAUCCGAAACUGGCGAGCUAGAGUAGGGCAGAGGAUGGUGGAAUUUCCUGUGUAGCGGUGAAAUGCGUAGAUAUAGGAAGGAACACCAAUGGCGAAGGCGGCCACCUGGGCUCAUACUGACUCUGAGGUGCGAAAGCGUGGGGAGCAAACAGG